CUGCCCUAUGCAGGGGGAUAAGCGGAAGAAAUUCCGUCUAAUACCGCAUAACACCAUUUGGAGACAUCUCCAGGUGGUCAAAGGAGGCGACUCCGGCAUAGGAUGGCCAUGCGUCGCAUUAGCUAGUCGGCGGGGUAACGGCCCACCGAGGCGACGAUGCGUAGGGGUUCUGAGAGGAAGGUCCCCCACACUGGUACUGAGACACGGACCAGACUCCUACGGGAGGCAGCAGUGAGGAAUAUUGGUCAAUGGGCGCAAGCCUGAACCAGCCAAGUCGCGUGAGGGAAGACGGUCCUAUGGAUUGUAAACCUCUUUUGUCGGGGAGCAAAGCGCGGUACGAGUACCGCGAAGGAGAGUACCCGAAGAAAAAGCAUCGGCUAGCUCCGUGCCAGCAGCCGCGGUAAUACGGAGGAUGCGAGCGUUAUCCGGAUUUAUUGGGUUUAAAGGGUGCGUAGGCGGAUUUGUAAGUCAGCGGUAAAAAUGCGGUGCUCAACGCCGUAUCGCCGUUGAAACUGCAGGUCUUGAGUGAGCGAGAAGUAUGCGGAAUGCGUGGUGUAGCGGUGAAAUGCAUAGAUAUCACGCAGAACUCCGAUUGUGAAGGCAGCAUACCGGCGCUCAACUGACGCUGAGGCACGAAAGCGUGGGGAUCGAACAGGAUUAGAUACCCUGGUAGUCCACGCAGUAAACGAUGA
RNAcentral lists this ribosomal RNA (692 nucleotides) under uncultured bacterium. RNAcentral's name for it is "bacterial SSU rRNA". It matches the Rfam family "Bacterial small subunit ribosomal RNA", at positions 126 to 812 of the family's 1533-position model. The record is from RNAcentral.